Molecule: ribosomal RNA, 407 nt
Filed under: uncultured bacterium
Lineage: Bacteria
Description: partial 16S ribosomal RNA
Rfam family: Bacterial small subunit ribosomal RNA
Source: RNAcentral
AUUGAACGCUGGCGGCAGGCCUAACACAUGCAAGUCGAGCGGAGCGGCGGACGGGUGAGUACUGCCUAGGAAUCUGCCUGGUAGUGGGGGAUCACGUACGGAAACGGGCGAUAAUACCGCAUGCUAUCAGAUCAGCCUCGGUCGGAUUUGCUAGUUGGUGGGGUACAGGCCUACCAAGGCGACGAUCCGUAACUGGCCUGAGAGGAUGAUCAGUCACACUGGAACUGAGACACGGUCCAGACUCCUACGGGAGGCAGCAGUGGGGAAUAUUUGACAAUGGGCGAAAGCCUGAUCCAGCCAUGCCGCUUGUGUGAAGAAGGUCUUCGGAUUGGAAAGCACUGUAAGUUGGGAGGCGUUACCAACAGAAUAAGCACCGGCUAACUUCGUGCCAGCAGCCGCGGUAAUUC